AACACCACCUGCCAACAUUCAGCCUCCUCUGCCCAUCAGCCUUGCUGACACAGGGAGUGGAGAUUUGUGUAGAGAAAUGACUCAUUCAAAUAUGACUUAAUCUAAACCGUAAGUGUAUGAUUUAUUAAUGUGCCACCAGGCCUUACACCAAGAGAGCCAUUCCAGAGAAAAGUCCUUUUUCUCCUGAGAACAGUGCCAGCAGCUGGCUUCGUGACAUUCUGGAAGCCCCGUGCAAUGCUGUCAGGAGCAUAGGGAUUUUACUUUAUCUCCCUUGCUUAUGCUCCACAUAACUGAAAUAUCUCACUGGAAGCUGCAGCAGUGCUGGCCCCUUGCACAGCCAUAUGUGACCACUGCAGAACAAUCAGUUGGAGAGACAGUUUGGACUACAUGGAGGGUGGAGAUAAGGACAAAGUGAAGAAUACACAGGAACCAGUGCCUCCUCCUGGAACUAUGCAACUCCAAGCUGCUUCCAUCAGCUGCUAGGUCCAGUAGGGAGGGACCUACUGAGAGAAGGUGCCUGCUUCCCUUUCCGCUGUGAUUCAUUGCCAGAAAACUCAUUUCUCAGUGACACCAUUGUAAUUACUCAUUUGAUUAUCCCGCAAUACACAUAUAAGAGUCUCAGGAAAACAGUACCAUCAGCAUUAUAUGAGCUAAUUAAAAAUGUGGUGUCCUGGACUCACGAAGCCAGAAUUGCUGAGGAGAUAGCCCGAGAAUCUGAAUUUUUAGCAGACAUUUUUUUAGGUACCUUACCCGCAGGAUCAUUUCUGUGAAUAUCCAUGAGGUGAAAAAGUCUGGGAAACACUGUCCUAGGGUGUGGGGAAGAGCGAGAAAAAGAUUUCCGCUCUGGAAGGUAAACAAAUACUCUCUGGAGAGAGAAGAGGAAUGUCCCUAGCAGAUGUCUCCAGAGAAGACAAGACUUUAAAUUCCGCCAGGGAAAUAUACAAUGUCUAACUUCUAAGGCACAUUUGCCAUUCAAUCAUGCUUUAACCCACGUUGCCAGAAAUUUUUGCUCACUAGGUUUUGACUGUACAGGAAUGUGAAAAUAUUCAUGAAGAGUUGUUUUCCAAUGCUAAAGAAUUGAUGUGUUUUAACAGUUGAAUUAAUUGUAUUGAUUAUGAUCACACCUACUUUUUAUAUAUCUUCAUUUCUAACGUUUCUGUACAAUCCUGCCUUUCCACCUGAUAUAGUUAGGCCUUGUGUCAUCAACCAAAUCUCAUCUUGAAUUGUAAUCGCCAUAAUCCCCACGUAUUUAGGGAGAGACCUGGAGGGAGGUGUUUGGAUCAUGGGGGCGGUUUCCCGCAUGCUGUUCUCAUGACCAUGAGAGUAAGUUCUCAAGAGAUCUGAUGGUUUUAUAAGCGUCUGUCAUUUCCACUGCUUGCACUUCUGUGUCCUGCCACCUUGUGAAGAAGGACGUGGUUGCUUCCCCUUCCACCAUGAUUGUGUUUCCUGAGGCCUCCCCAGCCUUGCAGAGCUGUGAGUCAAUUAAACCUCUUUCCUUUAUAAAUUACUCAGUCUCUGUAUUCCUCUGCAGCAGUGUGAGAACAGACUAAUACAUCACCACUUUAUUUACUUUACUCUCUCCCCAUACCGAGGUUUUCUACAUUUUCUUUCUAGGUCUCUACAGUUUCUGCAAAGAUCCUUUAUGGAACUCUUAGGGAAGCUGGGAUGUAUAAUAAAUAAAGGGCUCUUUUCUUUGAGUCCCACACCCAUUUUCUGUGUAUAAAAAUCUUCAACUCCACUUUUGUCUGUUCUAUUUAAAUGUGUGCACAUUUCCUUCUAAUGUUGUAUAUGAAAAAGAGACACCUCUUAGCAGUCUUUCAUAGAGCAAAAUUUUUUACUUUGAUAAAAUCUAAUUUAUCAAUAUUUUUAAAUUUUAUGGAUCAAUCAUGCUUUUGAGGUUGAAUUUAAGAAUGCUUUGCCUAGCCCUAGAUCCCAAGUAUCUUUUAAAAAUUAUUUUUCUAAAUGCAUUAUUUAUGUUUUACACUUAAGUCUAUAAUCCAUUUUGAGUCCAUGUGUAAGAUUUAGGUUAAGGUCAAGAUUUAUCUGUUUUUGUUGUUUUCUCUAUAAAUGUCAAUUGCUCCAGCACUAUUUGUUUAAAAGCCAAUCUUUCCUCCGCUGAGUUCUUCCUAUAAGUUUGUCAAAAGUCAAUUUGGCAUCUUUGUAUAAGUUUAUUUCUGGAUUCUCUAUUCUGUUUUAUUGAUCACUGCAUCUAUCCCUCUUGAUUAGCUAGAUAAUAAAUCCUACAAUAAGGUAGAAUUCUUCCCACUUUAUUCAUAUUCAAAAUAUUUUAAAGCUAUUCUAGUUUCUUUUUAUUUCCAUAUAUAUUUUAGGAUAAUCUUAUCUAUAUUUACAACAUAUGUUGCUAGGAUUUUGAUAGAAUUUGUUUUAAAUUUGUGUAUCAAUGUAGGGAAGACCUGACAUCUUUACUAUUACGUUGAUCUUCCAAUCAAUGAAUAUGGUAUAUCUCUCAGUUUAUAGCUAUUGUCUUUAAUUUAUUUCAUCAUGGUUUUUAGUUUUCAGCAGAGAAGCUUUAUACAUGUUUUGUUAUACAUGUAUAACAAAAGAAGCCUUAUACACUGACAUUUUAUAUUUUGAACAAUUGUAAAUGGUAUUGUUUAAAAAUUUUGUUGUCUAUGAUAGAAAUAAAAUUGAUUUUUGUAGGUUUAUCUUGUAACCUAUGACUUGCUGAGCUCGCUCAUUAGUUUUUUUAUUGUGAUAAAAUAUACAUGAGAUAAAUUUCAUCAUUAUAAUCAUUAAGUUUAGACAUCAAUUGCAUUAAGUACAUAAAUGCCUUAUGCAACCAUCAUCUCUAUCCAUCUCCAGACCCUUUGCAUCACCCUAAAAUGAAACUCUGUGCCCAUUAAACAAUAACUCCCCAUUCUGCCCUCACCCCAGCCCUUGGUAAUUACCAUCCUACCUUUUAUCUCUAUAAAUUUAACCAUCCCAGGUAACUCAUAUAAGUGGAAUCAUGCAGUGUUUGUCCUUUUGUAACUGGUUUAUUUCACUUAGCAUGAUGUCUUCAAGGUUUGCCUAUGUCAUAGCAUGUGUCAGAAUUUCAUCCCUUUUUAAACUUAAAUAAUAUUCCACUGUAGGCAUAUGCCACAUUUUGUUUAUUUGUUCAUCUGUUGAUGGGCAUUUGGGUUGUUUCCACCUUUUGGCUACUGUGAAUAAUGCUGCUGUGAUCAUGGGUAUGCAACUGUCUCCUGGAGUCCCUGCUAUCAAUUCUUGUGGGUAUAUACCCAGAAGUGGAAUUGUUGCAACAUAUAGUAAUUCUAUGUUUAAUUUUUUGAGGACCUGCCAUAAUGUUUUCCACAGUAGCUACAUUGUCUUAUAUUCCCAUUAAGAGUUCCAAUUUCCUCACAUCUUCACCAAUACUUAUUGUUUUCUGUUUUUUUAAAUAAUAGCCAUCAUAAUAAAAGUAACAUGGUAUCUCAUUGUGGUUUUAACUGCAUUUCCCUUUUUACUGGAUUGUUUGUAAUAUUGCUGUAAUUGAGUUGUAGGAGUUUUUAAAUAUGUUCUGAAUAAUUAAUUUCUUAUCAGAUAUGUCAUUUGCAAAUAUUUUCUGCCAUUCUCUGGGUUGUCAUUUCACUCUCUUGAUAGUGUCCUUUGAUGCACAGAAGUUUUGAAAUUUGAUAAAGUUUAAUUUGCGUAUGUAUUUAUUUUGUUGCUUAUGCUUUUGGUGUCAUAUCCAAGAAAUUAUUGCCAAAUUCAGUGUCAUGAAGAUUUUCCCCUGUGUUUUCCUCUAAGAGUAUUAUAGUUUUAACUCUUGCACUUAGAUUGAUCCGCUUUGAGUUAAUUUUAGUAUAUGGGGUAAGACAAGGGCUCAAAUUUGUUCUUUUGUUUGAAGAUUCUAGGUCAUUUGUGAUCUUUAGGAUUUUCUAUGUAGACAUUAAUGUCAUCUUCAAAUAUGAACAGUUUAUUUCUUCCUUUUGUAUAUGUAUGAAUUUACUUUCCUUUUCUUGCCUUAUUGCACUGGCUAGAGUUUUCAGUACUAUGAUGAAUAAAAUCAGUGAGAGCAGACACCCUUGCUUUGUUUCUAAUCUUAGGAGGAAAGCUUUCAGUCUUUCAUCAUUAGGUAUACUGUUAGUUGUAGGCUUAUUAUAGAUGCUCUUUAUCAGGUUGAGGCAGUUUCCUCCUUGGUUAAGACUUUCUAUUUUUCAUUUUCAGUUAUGACCAGGCAUGUUCAUAACUGCUCAUCAAAACUUUGAAUUAGUGGCUGCUUUAACAUCCUUCUCAGACAAUUCUAACAUCUGUUUUGUUGGUGGUGGCAUCUAUCAAUUGUCUUUUUCAUUCUGUUUGAGAUCUUCCUUGCGUUUGGUAUGAUUUUUUUAAAUAUUAUGUCAUGAAACUGCAUCUUAUUUAAAUCUUCUGUUUUAGUUGGCUAUGUCUGACAUCACUUCCCCAGGGGAAGGUGUUGUUACUGCUAGUGGAGGGUGAGAAUUAUGGCUCUCCACUGACAUUGUGGUGGGAUUGGUCCCAUUACCACUGGGCAGGGUUGAAAGUCCUGACUUUCUGCUAGGCCUUCUCUGACUUCAUCGCAGCAGGAGGAAAAGAUGCCUCUGGAGUUGAAGUCAGGUUGCACUGACACUGUGUGUGUAUGGAGGUAGGCUGGGGUGAAAGUGGAGACUCAUUACCACAUGGUGAGUAGUUUCCAGCUCUCUAUUUGGCCUUCUCUGAUACCACCCAGACAGGGACAUUGGGGAUACCUCAUUACAGCCUAGUGAGGGUCAAACUCUAGGCUCCCCACUCAGUCUUUGCUAUCAUGGACACUGUAGGACCAUAGUUUUUUCUGUGCUGUUUGCUUGAUGUGUCUUCCUUGGACCCUGAGUUCCAUAGCUGGUCUGCAUUCCUCUCUCCACCUUUAAGACGUCUUCUUAUGUUUAUUUCAUAUUUAACAUCCAGGGUGGUAAUUAGAGGGAAGAAUAGAGGGAAAAGUACAGUUGCACUUUGUUGUUCAAAGAGCAGUUUUGAACUGCACAGACCCAUUUCUCUGAGCACACCCAGGGAUGAUUGUACUUGUAUAAAAUUUUUUUCCUGGAUGCAGAAUUCUCAAUUGACUGUGAAAGUUCAUAACAAAGAAAACAGUGGGGAAGACAAAUCUGGAAAUGAGGAAAAUAAAAAUUAAAUAGUGAGACCACCCAUGGAGCUUGUGGCAAAGCCUGAAUUGAAUCCGCUGUAUCUUAAGAUUGUGCCUCAUUCUAAAUUUAAGUCACCCUUCUCAUUAUGAAAGUGUCACAACUUCUCAGUAGGUGAGGAGACAGUCUAAAUUUGAGAAAAGAAAGUUACAACAAAGGUUUUGAGCAAGCUGCUAAGUGGAUUUAUUCAUGUUUGAGAAAUCAAAUAUAUGGUUAAUGAGCUCUUUAACUAGAAGCCAACACUAGGGAGGAGUAGACAGAAGUCACGGGGAGGGAGCCCCCGGACAUUUCAAAAGACUUUGCCCUGCAACAUCUCCUCCACAUUUAAGCUUUUAGGUUAUUGUAGCCACAUCACAAGCAUGUUACCUACCCAGAUAUUGUCUGCGCAUCAUUCCCAAAAGCUUCCCUGGGUCUUCAUAAUAUUAAUGAGAUUCUCCCCCAGGUUAGACCCCUUUGGCUUGAGUCAGAAACAGAAUUAAUCCGGGGGACAAUCCAGCAGCACCCAUCUCUGGGUUGCAGAAAUAUCUGAGGUGACCAGGCAGUGUUUGGAGUCCCCUCAGUUAGCUAACAAAGUGAGUUCACAGCUUCCAAGACCCCAGGCUUUCCAGGCUAAUAAAGAGCUGAGGUUAUAGGCUCUCCUUAUCAAACGCUCUUUGGCAGCUGCCAUAACCAUUCCAAGUCUAGUCCUAGAAUAGAAAUGACGCGGUUUCAGGAGCUGACAGAUGGAACUUUAAGCCUUCCUUCCUGCCACAUCUGAAGUUCUUUUUUAAAAAAAUAGAAAACCAUGACAAUAAACACUCCUUGAAUGCCCUGUGGAAAAGUGUACUCCUCAGAAUUCACUAAAGUGGGGUGAAGCAGUGGGUUGUGGUGCUGAGAAAACAUCUCUUCCCCUCGGCAGUAUAUUGGAAUCUCAUAGAAACUUCUGUGGCUGGGAAGCAAACAUGCUCUCUGCCCCAUUGCUCUUAUUCAUCUUUAGACCUGAUAAUACAGUUUGAACUUCAAGUUGCACUUUAAAUGGCAUGCAUUUUUA
This 6165-nucleotide long non-coding RNA is filed under the name Homo sapiens (human). RNAcentral's name for it is "HSALNT0024043". The record is from RNAcentral. Lineage: Eukaryota; Metazoa; Chordata; Mammalia; Primates; Hominidae.